GUCGAACCGUACGAACGUUAUUCGGAAUCACUGGGCUUAAAGGGUGCGUAGGCGGCGCGACAAGUUGGGUGUGAAAUCCCUCGGCUCAACCGAGGAACUGCGCCCAAAACUGUCGUGCUCGAGGGAGACAGAGGUGAGCGGAACUUAGGGUGGAGCGGUGAAAUGCGUUGAUAUCCUAAGGAACACCGGUGGCGAAAGCGGCUCACUGGGUCUCUUCUGACGCUGAGGCACGAAAGCUAGGGUAGCGAACGGG
This 253-nucleotide ribosomal RNA is filed under the name uncultured bacterium. RNAcentral's name for it is "partial 16S ribosomal RNA". It matches the Rfam family "Bacterial small subunit ribosomal RNA", at positions 524 to 776 of the family's 1533-position model. The record is from RNAcentral.